Long non-coding RNA from Scatophagus argus, 461 nucleotides. RefSeq lists it as uncharacterized. The transcript has 2 exons. NCBI's taxonomy places the organism in Eukaryota, Metazoa, Chordata, Actinopteri, Scatophagidae. The record is from RefSeq and is a predicted model, not a curated record.
AGCAAUAAGGCAGCGCCCUGAUUGCUGUUAUUAGACUGUAGAGAUUUAUUAACUGGAAAGUUGUUUGUUUGUUUUUUAAGUGACGUUGACAUUAACUGAUAUGGACAAAGAAACUCUGAUGUGGACGAAAUAAAAUUGUGAUUACUGAGUCUGAAGCAGCAGCAGCAGUGACGGCAUCUCGUCGCACAACCUGGCUGGUGCUAACUAACAACUGGUAGGCACAGAUGGAAGAGGAAACGGGUGGUUCGAGCUUACUGCUAACACAGCUUGGAGAGCCAACAGCUUGACGUUCUGCAACAUUCAUUUCUGAGAGGAAGAAUUGGUGAGGUAUUAAGUAGGUAGAGCAGCUCUGAUGAUACUGUAAUGGUCUGACACUACACCUGUAAUCAAAACAAGGUGAGUCUUUGUGCUGGCUGACUAUUUGAAUUAAAAAAGAAGAGGGACUACAGUAAAAUAAAAAA